GACGAACGCUGGCGGCGUGCUUAACACAUGCAAGUCGAACGGAAAGGCCCUGCUUUUGUGGUGUGCUCGAGUGGCGAACGGGUGAGUAACACGUGAGUAACCUGCCCUUGACUUUGGGAUAACUUCAGGAAACUGGGGCUAAUACCGGAUAGGAGCUCCUGCUGCAUGGUGGGGGUUGGAAAGUUUCGGCGGUUGGGGAUGGACUCGCGGCUUAUCAGCUUGUUGGUGGGGUAGUGGCUUACCAAGGCUUUGACGGGUAGCCGGGCUGAGAGGGUGACCGGCCACAUUGGGACUGAGAUACGGCACAGACUACUACGGGAGGCAGCAGUGGGGAAUAUUGCACAAUGGGCGGAAGGCUGAUGCAGCAACGCCGCGUGCGGGAUGACGGCCUUCGGGUUGUAAACCGCUUUCGCCUGUGACGAAGCGUGAGUGACGGUAAUGGGUAAAGAAGCACCGGCUAACUACGUG
RNAcentral lists this ribosomal RNA (468 nucleotides) under uncultured bacterium. RNAcentral describes it as "partial 16S ribosomal RNA". It matches the Rfam family "Bacterial small subunit ribosomal RNA", at positions 28 to 507 of the family's 1533-position model. The record is from RNAcentral.